RNAcentral lists this ribosomal RNA (390 nucleotides) under uncultured bacterium. RNAcentral describes it as "bacterial SSU rRNA". It matches the Rfam family "Bacterial small subunit ribosomal RNA", at positions 28 to 420 of the family's 1533-position model. The record is from RNAcentral.
GACGAACGCUGGCGGCGUGCUUAACACAUGCAAGUCGAGCGGUAAGGCCCUUUCGGGGGUACACGGGCGGCGAACGGGUGAGUAACACGUGGGUGACCUGCCCUCAGCUCUGGGAUAAGCCUGGGAAACCGGGUCUAAUACCGGAUAUGACUCCAUGACGCAUGUUGUGGGGUGGAAAGCCUUGUGCGGCUGAGGAUGGGCCCGCGGCCUAUCAGCUUGUUGGUGGGGUGAUGGCCACCAAGGCGACGACGGGUAGCCGGCCUGAGAGGGCGACCGGCCACACUGGGACUGAGACACGGCCCAGACUCCUACGGGAGGCAGCAGUGGGGAAUCUUGCGCAAUGGGCGAAAGCCUGACGCAGCGACGCCGCGUGAGGGAUGACGGCCUCGG